RNAcentral lists this ribosomal RNA (263 nucleotides) under uncultured bacterium. RNAcentral describes it as "partial 16S ribosomal RNA". It matches the Rfam family "Bacterial small subunit ribosomal RNA", at positions 334 to 593 of the family's 1533-position model. The record is from RNAcentral.
UUUACCUACGGGAGGCAGCAGUGAGGAAUAUUGGUCAAUGGCCGAGAGGCUGAACCAGCCAAGUCGCGUGAGGGAUGACGGCCCUACGGGUUGUAAACCUCUUUUGUCGGGGAGCAAGACCCGCCUCGUGCAGGCGGAGCGAGAGUACCCGAAGAAAAAGCAUCGGCUAACUACGUGCCAGCAGCCGCGGUAAUACGUAGGUGGCAAGCGUUGUCCGGAUUUAUUGGGCGUAAAGCGAGUGCAGGCGGUUCAAUAAGGCUGAU